GUCCGAUAAAGCAAUGAAAAGGGAAUCGGGUGUAAAUCCCGAACAGGCCCGCUGCUGUGAAGUUCAUGAUGGUUUCAGACACAUACUGCAAUGCCACUAAUCGGAGCGCGAUUGGGAAGGCGUCUGAAAAGAGAACAAGUCAGAAGACCUGCCGGUUGC
RNAcentral lists this non-coding RNA (159 nucleotides) under Barnesiella viscericola. The record is from RNAcentral. Lineage: Bacteria; Pseudomonadati; Bacteroidota; Bacteroidia; Bacteroidales; Barnesiellaceae.